This 1129-nucleotide long non-coding RNA is filed under the name Nicotiana benthamiana. RNAcentral describes it as "long non-coding RNA (NBEN_LNC019436)". The record is from RNAcentral. Lineage: Eukaryota; Viridiplantae; Streptophyta; Magnoliopsida; Solanales; Solanaceae.
UGUGGAUUGGGUGGAACGCCGCCACGGGUAUGAGGGUAUGAUAUCUGGACCGGGUUGCGCGCCACAACAGUGUGAUGUGGAGAAUAGUAUUCUAUAUGUUACUUUGUACGCCUUGCUUCCUGAUUUCUGAGGAAGGUCCGUAUUGGGUGCUACUCGGCAAAUAUCGCAUGUAUUGUGUCCUUUCAGGAUUGAAUAAAGUAUAUUACUUGCUUCACCAUGGGUGUGAUGGAUUGCUGGGUUUCAGACCUAAAUAUGUGUGUGGUUGUCCGUGUUGAGCUUGGUGACUUGAGGUGCUUCAUGGAUAAUAGUGUUUGGAUAGGAUCACGCGUUAUGGCAAGGCCACGUGAUGUUAUGACCUGUCGAGGAGAAUUCAGGUACUCUAUUUCUAUGAUGUGAGACGGGAUCUCAGUUUUGUGUUGUAAUAGCAAGGCCACGUGAAGUAAUGACCUUUCGAGGAGAAUUCAGGUACUCUAUUUCUAUGAUGUGAGACAGGAUCUCAGUUUUGUGUUGUAAUGGUGUUGUUGAGCUUGAGGUACAAUUUUUUCGUUGAGUCAUUGUCAUGAUUUGAGUAUGUUCAGACUGCUUCUCAUUGGUGCGUGUAUUAUGCAAGUUCUGGCUUAGGCCUGUGGCGAGGUGCCGUAUCACAAGAGGGAAAUUGAUUCAUGAAUGGUAUGAUCUGAGAGAUGGGUUCAGUAUAUCGUGUAAUUCAGUUGCUGUUGGCAGUAUAUGAAAGUGUGGGAAUAAGACUUUACCUAACAGAAAGGUUUUCUAUCGGUAUCCGGUUAUUGCGGGCAGCCGCUGUGAAUGGAAGUUAUCGCUAUAUGUGUUUAUGUUAUGUUGGAUAUCAUAUGAUUGCAGCCGAGGUUGCAGGUAUGAAUUAUUACUGUUGGUCCGGGUUUAUUCUGAAUAUAGACGUGAGGUUCCGAUCUUGUGUAUAACUUCGGAAAAUGCAAUGCGGUCCUAUGAUUUAAGAGUUAGAUGGAUUGUGAAAUUUCAGCUAUGUCGUGUUGUCGGACCUAUAGGAGAUAGGGUGACUUGGGAUCACCCCGGGUAUAUGCUUGGUAAGAUCAUUCAGCUAUUGGUUGGCUUCUAGAACAACUCUGGGUACGCUCAAGGACGAGCGUUUGUU